Molecule: ribosomal RNA, 460 nt
Filed under: uncultured bacterium
Lineage: Bacteria
Description: partial 16S ribosomal RNA
Rfam family: Bacterial small subunit ribosomal RNA
Source: RNAcentral
CCUACGGGCGACAGCAGUGAGGAAUAUUGGUCAAUGGGCGGGAGCCUGAACCAGCCAAGUCGCGUGAGGGAAGACGGUCCUAUGGAUUGUAAACCUCUUUAGGCGGGGAGCAAUGCCGGGCACGCGUGCCCGGAGGGAGAGUACCCGCAGAAUAAGCAUCGGCUAACUCCGUGCCAGCAGCCGCGGUAAUACGGAGGAUGCGAGCGUUAUCCGGAUUUAGUGGGUUUAAAGGGUGCGUAGGCGGAUUUUUAAGUCAGCGGUAAAAUGUCCGGGCUCAACCCGGGCCGGCCGUUGAAACUGGGGAUCUUGAGUGGGCGAGAAGUAUGCGGAAUGCGUGGUGUAGCGGUGAAAUGCAUAGAUAUCACGCAGAACUCCGAUUGCGAAGGCAGCAUACCGGCGCCCGACUGACGCUGAGGCACGAAAGCGUGGGGAUCGAACAGGAUUAGAUACCCUAGUAGUC